RNAcentral lists this ribosomal RNA (497 nucleotides) under uncultured bacterium. Its description in RNAcentral is "partial 16S ribosomal RNA". It matches the Rfam family "Bacterial small subunit ribosomal RNA", at positions 28 to 507 of the family's 1533-position model. The record is from RNAcentral.
GACGAACGCUGGCGGCGUGCCUAAUACAUGCCAGUAGAACGCUGAAGAGAGGAGCUUACUCUUCUUGGAUGAGUUGCGAACGGGUGAGUAACGCGUAGGUAACCUGCCUUGUAGCGGGGGAUAACUAUUGGAAACGAUAGCUAAUACCGCAUAACAAUGGAUGACACAUGUCAUUUAUUUGAAAGGGGCAAUUGCUCCACUACAAGAUGGACCUGCGUUGUAUUAGCUAGUAGGUGAGGUAAUGGCUCACCUAGGCGACGAUACAUAGCCGACCUGAGAGGGUGAUCGGCCACACUGGGACUGAGACACGGCCCAGACUCCUACGGGAGGCAGCAGUAGGGAAUCUUCGGCAAUGGGGGCAACCCUGACCGAGCAACGCCGCGUGAGUGAAGAAGGGUUUCGGAUCGUAAAGCUCUGUUGUAAGUCAAGAACGGGUGUGAGAGUGGAAAGUUCACACUGUGACGGUAGCUUACCAGAAAGGGACGGCUAACUACGUG